Molecule: long non-coding RNA, 376 nt
Filed under: Cucumis sativus (cucumber)
Lineage: Eukaryota; Viridiplantae; Streptophyta; Magnoliopsida; Cucurbitales; Cucurbitaceae
Description: long non-coding RNA (CSAT_LNC000972)
Source: RNAcentral
GAAAAUCUCCUUCGAGUUCACAAAAACUCAAAUGCAGUCGUGCUUAGUACAGAAAUUUUAUCGAACGGUUGGUACGCAGGAAAAGAACGCUCCAAAUUGAUCCUUAAUUGCCUAUUCCGAAUGGGCAGUGCAGCUAUUCUGCUCUCUAACAAAAAACAAGCGAAAGAAUCUUCAAAAUAUAAACUGAUUAAAACGCUCAGAACACAGAGAGCUUUCGAUGACAAAAGUUACCUAUCAGCCUUACGCGAGGAGGACAGGUACGGAAAACUCGGCGUCGCUCUGACACGGGAUUUACCCCAUGUCGCCGGAGAAACUCUCCGAUCAAACAUAACGAUUCUGGGUGCUUCAGUUUUACCGUUGUCGGAGAAACUACGGC